GACGAACGCUGGCGGCGUGCUUAACACAUGCAAGUCGAACGGAAAGGCCCUGCUUUUGUGGUAUUCUCGUGUGGCGCACGCGUGUGUAACACGUGUGUAACCCCCCCCUGUCUUUGGGAUAACUUCAGGAAACUGUGUCUCACACCGGAUAUGAGCUCCUGCGGCUUGUUGUUGGAUAGUAAGUUCCGGCGGUUGGGGAUGGACUCGCGGCUUACGCGCUUGUUGGUGGGGUAGUUGCUUACCAAGUCUCUGAGGGGUAGCCGGCGUGAGAGGGGGACCGGCACCAUGGGGACUGAGAUAGGCCCCAGACUCCAACGGGGGGCAGCAGUGGGAAAUAUUGCACAAUGGGCGGAAGCCGGUGGAAGAAACCCCGGGGGCGGGAUGACGGCCUUCGGGUGGAAAACCGCUUUCGAAUGUAACGAAGCGUUAGUGACGGUAAUGGGUAAAGAAGCACCGGCUAACUACGUG
RNAcentral lists this ribosomal RNA (468 nucleotides) under uncultured bacterium. Its description in RNAcentral is "partial 16S ribosomal RNA". It matches the Rfam family "Bacterial small subunit ribosomal RNA", at positions 28 to 507 of the family's 1533-position model. The record is from RNAcentral.